GACGGGGGCCCGCACAAGCGGAGGAACAUGUGGUUUAAUUCGAUGAUACGCGAGGAACCUUACCCGGGCUUGAACUGCAGCGGAAGGAAACAGAGAUGUUGACGCCCUUCGGGGUCGCUGUGGAGGUGCUGCAUGGUUGUCGUCAGCUCGUGCCGUGAGGUGUCGGCUUAAGUGCCAUAACGAGCGCAACCCUUUUCAUUAGUUGCCAUCAGGUAAUGCUGGGCACUCUGGUGAUACUGCCACCGUAAGGUGUGAGGAAGGUGGGGAUGACGUCAAAUCAGCACGGCCCUUACGUCCGGGGCUACACACGUGUUACAAUGGGAGGUACAGAGAGUCGGAUGUACGCAAGUACAUUCUAAUCCUAAAAGCCUUCCUCAGUUCGGAUUGGGGUCUGCAACCCGACCCCAUGAAGCUGGAUUCGCUAGUAAUCGCGCAUCAGCCAUGGCGCGGUGAAUACGUUCCCGGGCCUUGUACACACCGCCCGUCAAGCCAUGAAAGCCGGGGGCGCUUGAAGUCCGUGACCGCAAGGAUCGGCCUAGAGCGAAACUGGUGAUUGGGGCUAAGAAGUAACAAGGUG
RNAcentral lists this ribosomal RNA (577 nucleotides) under uncultured bacterium. RNAcentral's name for it is "bacterial SSU rRNA". It matches the Rfam family "Bacterial small subunit ribosomal RNA", at positions 912 to 1498 of the family's 1533-position model. The record is from RNAcentral.